Molecule: ribosomal RNA, 492 nt
Filed under: uncultured bacterium
Lineage: Bacteria
Description: partial 16S ribosomal RNA
Rfam family: Bacterial small subunit ribosomal RNA
Source: RNAcentral
AGUGAACGCUGGCGGUAGGCCUAACACAUGCAAGUCGAACGGCAGCACAGUAAGAGCUUGCUCUUACGGGUGGCGAGUGGCGGACGGGUGAGGAAUACAUCGGAAUCUACUUUUUCGUGGGGGAUAACGUAGGGAAACUUACGCUAAUACCGCAUACGACCUACGGGUGAAAGCAGGGGAUCUUCGGACCUUGCGCGAUUGAAUGAGCCGAUGUCGGAUUAGCUAGUUGGCGGGGUAAAGGCCCACCAAGGCGACGAUCCGUAGCUGGUCUGAGAGGAUGAUCAGCCACACUGGAACUGAGACACGGUCCAGACUCCUACGGGAGGCAGCAGUGGGGAAUAUUGGACAAUGGGCGAAAGCAUGAUCCAGCCAUACCGCGUGGGUGAAGAAGGACUUCGGGUUGUAAAGCCCUUUUGGUGGGAAAGAAAAGCAGCAGGUUAAUACCCCGCUGUUCUGACGGUACCCAAAGAAUAAGCACCGGCUAACUUCGUG